Molecule: long non-coding RNA, 2733 nt
Organism: Bombus terrestris (buff-tailed bumblebee)
Lineage: Eukaryota; Metazoa; Arthropoda; Insecta; Hymenoptera; Apidae
Exons: 3
Source: RefSeq, a predicted model, not a curated record
GUACAGCAAUCACGCAUGCGCUGGCGGACUAAGAACGACAAAUUCUCUAGCAGUAGGCGGAUCGGUCGUUACGUCGAUAGUCUCGGUGCAUCGUAUUCUCGCAGAUGUGCAUCCUGUGCACGCACCACUCUCUCUCUCUCUUUUUUAUACACACUUUCUAUACCUCUCUUUUGCACUCUAUAUGCCCGCCUCCGUGUAAAUCGCGAAUUCCAUCGAGUAUCAACUAUCGGUCCAAACUCGACGCCGGCCAUCUUCUUAUUGUUUCUUGUUUGAGAUUUCUACGUACAUAUGUAGCACACCUUCCAGCUAUACAUGUAUAUCAAUGAGUUCACUAGGUUAACGGUUAUCACCCGAUAUUCCCUUAUUCUCGUAUUUCCUUGAACACUCGCGAAUCAGAGAGAAUUCUUUACGAAACAAGCAUAAAUACGUAAAAGAUAUGUUUAUAGGUAGGACGCCCGUUCGACAACACGAUUCCCGCGAUUCUGUGCGAAUGGAACGCAGGAAUGAAAGGAAUUGGAAGGGGGGAACGAAGGAAUUUUUCUUAAUGUGAUGAAGUCGUGGGCAAGUGGUCACAUAGUUACACUUGUAUGUGCACGCGUAGAAAAAGGAUACACCUACUCGAAUUUCUCCAUGGAAAACUUCAUUUUCCUCCUUUGUCGGUCAUCGUUCUGAUUUUGUGUGGUUUGCAUUUAUCUUCCCUUUUUUUAUAAAUGGGGUUAUGUAUGAGUAUAUAUUCUGUAUACGGUCGUCUACAGCCGUGAUUAUGAGAGGUAAAUAAAAAUAUAUAACCAAAUUCUAUAGAGUUGACUAUACAAUAUUAAGCUAUUGUUAGGUUUGGCAAAUCAGUUAAAAUAUUUUCUAUAAUAACAUAAACUCGUCCCUGAAAAUCAUAAUUCAAUUAUGGCAACUGACUGGUUACUAACUAUCGAGUUAAGGUAUCAUUUGUCGAAUAAAGUACGUACUGUAAUGUACGUACACACGCAUAUAUUUUUUCAUAUUUAAAAAAUUGGUUGAUUAGUUGCUUGAACUCAAUAAAUUCAGAACUACCUUAUAAAAUUUAGUUAGUCUAUAUAUAUAAUAGAGUUCGUUGCAUUCUGGUUUAAUGUUUGUAGCUCGUAAAGUUUCUAUAACCUUUAUAUCUCACGCAUUUAAUCUACGUGUCAGUUGGGAACGCGUGUCGCUGAAAUUACGAAAGCGAUCUCGGACUACCGUAUCACAGACUUCUCGUUUACAUCGCGUCGAACACGAUGUCCAUUAUCUGUCAAGUGUGGUAUAAACGUAACCUUAUAAAACGUCGAGAAUAAUCAUCAAUGUCGAUGAUUAUCGACAGUUCGAAUCGAGCAGCAUGUAAUUAUUUGCAAGGCGGAAUUUUAAAAAAAGUGUCCCAUUUCGUUUUCUUUCGCGCUCGUGUUCAAAUGCCGAGAACUCAACGAUUGCUUAACCGAUGCCUCGUAGAUGUGGUGUACAGGUCUAUACGGUGCAAAGAGAGAGGAAAAGAGAGCUUCGGGGUACGAACGACACGUGAACGGUGACCUUUGGCCUCGGCGCAGAUCCUGCAGAGAUAUCGGUUUCGUUUUCACCGUGACGCAGUGGUACGCGCGCACACAUCGCAGUACACGCCUUUUGCCUUUUGCCCGUUGUCGGAGCAACACUUAAUUUGUCCGUCCACUUGUGCCCUCGCCGCGGGACGUUCAUUGGCCGCCGUGUAGCCAAGGAUGAAGAUUCGAGGGAGAACCGUGAGAGGCCGCGAAGGACGCCAGUGAAAGUGCUCCAUGGAUCUAUUUACUCAACGGGAAAUAAGCCUUUGUGUGCAGAUUUCUAUACCGAUCAUCUACUAUGCAAUAUUGCCGAUAUCGUACAACGCUCGAAUAGAUGAAUAAGUGGUAUCGCGUACAUCAGACGUUUAAUUUUAAUCGAUGCAGAGAUUUAUGGUAAGUAUACAUGUGGAUAUUGUUUGGUACUUGAAUGGUAUGUUUUGGUAUUCGAUCAUGUGAAACAGAUAAGGUGAAGGUAUUACUGAGCGUUUAUCGUAUAUACGGCUAUUUAUCACCCGAUGAAAUUCUACUAGCCUGUGACAAUUUUCUAAUCGUCGAUUUAUGUUUCCCAGUGCCAAAGGUUAAUUUUAUGUAAAAUGUAUUUCGUGUGAAAAUUAUAGCGCCACCUGCCACUUAAUCCUAAUCGGAUAUUGUUUGUUAUUCGAUCGAUCAUUCGCAUUAGAUAAGCUGCAAGUAAUAGUACGUGUUUAUUGCACGCAUGUUUAUUUAUCACCUGGUGAAAUUCUACUGGCCUGUGACACAUUUUCUAAUUGAAAUUUCAUGUUUUCAUGUCUAUUUUGACGUAGAAGAUUUAUGUACUCAUGCAGGGAUUAUAACGUACAUGGUUUCUGAUAAUAUAAGGUCAGGAUGGAAGAAGAAAUAAUAACGAAAACGAAAUUGAUGAAAUCCUCUAUAUUCCUCUUUGUGAAAUGUUGUAUUAGCACAGCAUUGAUUCUUAAUAGGACGUGUGAAUUUUUAAAAAAUAUUUCACCCACGUCAAUUAAAAUAAUUUCUUGCUACGUUACGUAUUGACUGACAAUGUUUAUUUUCGAUGAGCACGAAAGGUACUUGUACACCAUUAUAUUGUAGCAUUUACAUACCUACAUCAACCAAGUUCAAGUACCUACAUUAAAUGUCGCACUAUUUUAAUGGUAUUUUCAUAUAAUUAUAAUAAUUUGGUAUUUGAUAAAAAGGCGUU